RNAcentral lists this ribosomal RNA (756 nucleotides) under uncultured archaeon. RNAcentral describes it as "bacterial SSU rRNA". It matches the Rfam family "Archaeal small subunit ribosomal RNA", at positions 102 to 858 of the family's 1478-position model. The record is from RNAcentral.
GGAUAACCUACCCUUAGGACCGGGAUAACCUUGGGAAACUGAGGAUAAUACUGGAUAGGCAAUUUUUCCUGUAAUGGUUUUUUGUUUAAAUGUUUUUUCGCCUAAGGAUGGGUCUGCGGCCGAUUAGGUAGUUGGUUAGGUAACGGCUUACCAAGCCGUUGAUCGGUACGGGUUGUGAGAGCAAGAGCCCGGAGAUGGAACCUGAGACAAGGUUCCAGGCCCUACGGGGUGCAGCAGGCGCGAAACCUCCGCAAUGUGAGAAAUCGCGACGGGGGGAUCCCAAGUGCCAUUCUUAACGGGAUGGCUUUUCAUUAGUGUAAAAAGCUUUUGGAAUAAGAGCUGGGCAAGACCGGUGCCAGCCGCCGCGGUAACACCGGCAGCUCUAGUGGUAGCAAUUUUUAUUGGGCCUAAAGCGUCCGUAGCCGGUUUAAUAAGUCUCUGGUGAAAUCCUGUAGCUUAACUGUGGGAAUUGCUGGAGAUACUAUUAGACUUGAGACCGGGAGAGGUUAGAGGUACUCCCAGGGUAGAGGUGAAAUUCUGUAAUCCUGGGAGGACCGCCUGUUGCGAAGGCGUCUAACUGGAACGGUUCUGACGGUGAGGGACGAAAGUUAGGGGCGCGAACCGGAUUAGAUACCCGGGUAGUCCUAACUGUAAACGAUGCGGACUUGGUGUUGGGGUGGCUUUGAGCUGCUCCAGUGCCGAAGGGAAGCUGUUAAGUCCGCCGCCUGGGAAGUACGGUCGCAGGACUGAAACUUA